Long non-coding RNA from Macadamia integrifolia, 2319 nucleotides. RefSeq lists it as uncharacterized. The record is from RefSeq and is a predicted model, not a curated record. NCBI's taxonomy places the organism in Eukaryota, Viridiplantae, Streptophyta, Magnoliopsida, Proteales, Proteaceae. The transcript has 6 exons.
CAUACAAUGUCUAAGAAAGAGAAAGAAUUGUUUUGCAAAGCUUUAAAGGGGUUGAAGUUCUCUAAAAGUUAUGCGGGAAAUAUAUCACAAUGUAUGAAUGUGAAUGAGAGGAAUAUUUCUGGAUUGAAAAGCCAUGAUUGCCAUGUUUUAAUGCAACAACUCCUUCCUUUGGCACUGUGAGCACACCCUACCAAGAAUGUUCAGUUGGUGUUGCUUUCGUUGAGUUCGUUUUUUCGUGGGUUAUGUUCUAAAGUUGGUACAUUAGAAGAUUUUAACAAUCUUGAAGAAUGUAUUGCAGAAACACUAUGCCAUCGUGAGAGAAUCUUCCCACUUGCAUUCUUUGAUAUUAUGGUUCAUUUACUAAUUCACUUACCACGAGAGGCAGUGUUAGGUGGACUCGUACAGUACAGAUGGAUAUAUCCUUUCGAAAGGUUCAACAAGACUCUAAAGGGCUAUAAGCGUAAUCGAAGUAAAAUAGAAGGGUCUAUUUCAGAAGGAUACCUUGAUGAUGAAUGCCGAAAAUUUUGUUCUAGUCACUUCCAAGGUAUUGAGACUAGGUGGACCUGCCCCAUAAGGAAUAUUGGUAGUGGGGAACAUUAAACGGACAAGCAUUGGAUAUUCUCAUGCAUCGGUAGACCAUUGGGGCGUCCUAAGAUGAUACGAUUAGAGCCAAAGGAGGUAAGUGAGGCACAUCGAUAUGUGCUUCUCCAUUAUGAUGCCAUCGACACAUAUCGAGAACGUCACAAGGAAGAACUUAUGAAGAGUUUAGGCAAUAGAAGUAGUCCCUACAGAGACAAGGUGCAUGCUGAAAAUUUCCUAGAGUGGCUCAGAUGUCAAGUGGAUAUGCAACGCCAAAGCGGAGAAGUGGUUCCAGACAUUAUUAAAUGGUUGGCUAAUGGAUCCUUUUCGGAUGCAAAAAAAUACACAGGUUAUAUAUAUAAUGGCAUAAGGUAUAACGUAAAGGAUCGCGAAACCAAUUGGUGAACGCAAAAUAGUGGGGUGUUAGUAACGGCAGGAAUUGAACUCUACUAUGGUGUGUUGAAGGAAGUAGUUGAGUUAGAGUAUUGUGGGGAUCUUAAAACAAUUUUAUUUCAAGUUGAUUGGGCAAAUACACAUAAUGGGGUGCUUAAAGAAGAUAUCGGAUUUACACGUGUGAACUUCAGUCAUUUGAUGCAUUCCAGUGAAGAUAUUCUUGAUGACCCUUUUGUCUUUCCAAGACAAACAGAGCAAGUGUUUUAUGUGUCAGACCCUUUAAAUGAGGGUUGGUGCCUUGUUGUAAAAGCUAACUAACAUGAUACAUUUGAUAUCAGUGGUGAUGUGGCAGAGGAACAUCACCAACCUAUACAAAUGGGAGAAGGGGAUGAUGUUGAUGCUGAUCUUAACAUGACAAGAACUGACUUGGAUGGAACAGUAGUUGACACCCUAAUUUGAACAGAAAUUUCCUUUUUCUUGCCUGCAUUCUCUCUCCGUAACUGUAUUAUGUCUUCUUAUGGUUUGACUAGUCAACAAUGGUUUUGAGUGAAGUAAAAGUCUUCCAAAAGGGUUUUUUUUUUAGUUUUAGUUUUCUAUUGUCCUUUAUUAUUUUCCUUACUGAACAAGUUAGUAUCUUUUAGUAUUUUGUUGAUUCCCUUACAAUUAUCCUAUUUUUGUUCUGUUUUUUAAUUUCUAUUUAUUUUUAUUCUAUGUUUCUAGGUUGUAACCUAAACUAUAUAAGAGGAGUAGUUAACCAAUUGAGAAUUAACCAAUGAAUGAAGUCACAACCAUUGUUGCUCUUUAAUUCCUAAGAAAAUUUUCUUCAACAGUUGAUAUCUAUUCCACCCACAUCUAUCUCAUCUUGUUCUAGUUUCUCUUUGUUUUAACUUUGUGAUUGAGUGUUCUGUCAGCUUGAAGCCCUAUAGGAUCUUACAAACUAAAGCUUGUAUUCAUCCUAAGAACACAGAGAUCAAUUGAGGUUUUUCAGGUUUCAAAGCUUAGGUUUUAGAUAAUGGAGGAUAUAACCCCACCGAUAGAGCGUACUAGUAUCACAGAGGCAUCUUCUUCGAGAAAUACCAAAAAGGAAAGAGGGCCAAGUAAAAGCAUCAAAACAAUGGAAAUUCCUCAUGGGCAACCAGUGAAGCUAAGAGCAAAUCACCUAAAUUAGUUAAUUGUUGAUGAAGCUGCCUAGUUUAGUACAUAUUUGGGCACCUUGAUUAGAAGCCAAAAAAUGAUGCCACUUAACUAUGAAGAUUGGAGAUAUGUUCCAGAACACUAUAAGGAACAACUUUGGAACCAUAUCCAGGUAUGGUUUUAUCGCAUUAUGUAAUUUAUAAUCCAACGUUU